GGUGGAGCGCAGGAUCCUGGGCUGUGUCCCCGGCGCCCUGGAAUCCGGAGCCUGCACUGCUGGAAUCACACUCCCGGGCUGCAGUUCCCU
This 90-nucleotide microRNA precursor is filed under the name Canis lupus familiaris (dog). Its description in RNAcentral is "mir-8799 microRNA precursor family". It matches the Rfam family "mir-8799 microRNA precursor family". The record is from Rfam by way of RNAcentral. Lineage: Eukaryota; Metazoa; Chordata; Mammalia; Carnivora; Canidae.